CAGGGAGACAACAAAAUGUUUAAUAUUAUUAUUUUGUCACCUUAGGUCGAUCGGUAUCUCACGUUCUUGAUUAAGAAUUUCAUUUCCUAAGUUUUUCUAGGUCACACCCAUUAUUUUUCCUGGGCCAUUAGCUCAGGUGGUUAGAGCGCACCCCUGAUAAGGGUGAGGUCCCUGGUUCAAGUCCAGGAUGGCCCAUAUCUCUAUGUUGGGGGUAUAGCUCAGUUGGUAGAGCGCCUGCUUUGCAAGCAGGAUGUCAGCGGUUCGAGUCCGCUUACCUCCACUGAUUACCACCUCUUCCAUAACCGGUAGAAAGGAAAUGUUUUGAGUUGUGAUCAAAUUCUGAAAGAAUCUAGCUUCCUAAUGAAAUCAUUAAGAUGCUGGACUCAUUGAAUUAAUUUCAUUGUUUUCAGAGAACCUUGACAACUGCAUAGAUUAUUUUAAAAGACAAUAAGCAUCUUUAAUGAUGCAGAUUUAUUAUUUGUGCUAAUGCAUCAAAUAACAAUUCUAUUAAGCUGAUGCUUCAAUUAUUGAAGUUAUU
RNAcentral lists this transfer RNA (538 nucleotides) under uncultured cyanobacterium. RNAcentral's name for it is "partial 16S-23S ribosomal RNA intergenic spacer". The stretch from base 208 to 280 matches the Rfam family "tRNA". Lineage: Bacteria; Bacillati; Cyanobacteriota. The record is from RNAcentral.